CACGUAGGGCGCAAGCGUUGUCCGGAAUUAUUGGGCGUAAAGAGCUCGUAGGCGGACUGUUGCGUCUGCUGUGAAAAGCUGGGGCUUAACCCUGGCCUUGCAGUGGAUACGGGCAGACUAGAGGUAGGUAGGGGAGAAUGGAAUUCCCGGUGUAGCGGUGAAAUGCGCAGAUAUCGGGAGGAAUACCGGUGGCGAAAGCGGCGCACUGGACCACAACUGACGCUGAGGCGCGAAAGCUAGGGGAGCAAACAGGG
This 254-nucleotide ribosomal RNA is filed under the name uncultured bacterium. RNAcentral describes it as "partial 16S ribosomal RNA". It matches the Rfam family "Bacterial small subunit ribosomal RNA", at positions 524 to 777 of the family's 1533-position model. The record is from RNAcentral.